RNAcentral lists this long non-coding RNA (262 nucleotides) under Trifolium pratense (red clover). RNAcentral's name for it is "long non-coding RNA (TPRA_LNC001469)". The record is from RNAcentral. Lineage: Eukaryota; Viridiplantae; Streptophyta; Magnoliopsida; Fabales; Fabaceae.
GGAGCUUUAAUUUUACAGAGGGUAAAUUUUAGAUGUGGGUUUUGGAGCUUCAAUUUUAAACUGAAAAAAAUGAGAAAAAUGGUGGUGGUGAGCAGGUGAGGGUGGAUUUAAAGUGGGAGGUGGUGCUGUUGGAAGAAGAAAGGGAAAGAAGGGUCGUGGAAGAAGAAAGAGGGAUGUGCUGUUGGAAGAAGAUUGAGGCUCCCAUGGUAGAAGAAAAAAUGAUGCAGUAAGGGAGGAAGAAGAUGAAGAAAUCAAAACAAAA